UGGUGAUCUAGCGCCUCGACAUGGUGCGACGGUCGGAUUGAAAGUGGCAAUGACGGAGAGGAGAAAGGAGAAAUGGGGUGGCUAUGGUUUUGGCUACUGUCAUCCGGCUUAAAUAGCUGACCUCCUCCCUCGAGCGACACGAUGGAGCGGCGUCACAUGGUGUGGUAGUACUGAAAAAAGACUUAUAGAUGACCUCAAAUGAGUGACGGGCACUACCAGGUACCCACCACUCAAAUACGUAAAGGAGCGGCAUGCGGAAAUAACUGCCCAUCACAGGUAAACUAUGCGAAGUUCGUUGCGUGAUAAAAACUACCAAUGACGGGCCGCAAAUACCUGCCCGUCCUUGAUUUAUGACUCAACGGUGAUGACGAGAAUUAUGUCUGCCACAAAUAUAUUUGUGUAAC
This 404-nucleotide long non-coding RNA is filed under the name Hordeum vulgare. RNAcentral describes it as "long non-coding RNA (HVUL_LNC008235)". Lineage: Eukaryota; Viridiplantae; Streptophyta; Magnoliopsida; Poales; Poaceae. The record is from RNAcentral.